This 1049-nucleotide long non-coding RNA is filed under the name Felis catus (domestic cat). RNAcentral's name for it is "lncRNA (ENSFCAG00000050570.1)". Lineage: Eukaryota; Metazoa; Chordata; Mammalia; Carnivora; Felidae. The record is from RNAcentral.
CACCCCACCGGGCCGCGCGCCCCUGCUCCGCCCGCCUGACGGCGACCCUCCCCGGCCGGCCCACGCCCCUCCCGCGCCGCCUCCCCACUCGCCCGCCGCUGUCCGCGAACCUGCGCUUCCUUCUCAACCUUUCGCUCGUUCGCCUCUGCUGCCUUUGCGUCUCCCCAGCUGGGCUUCUCCUCUCCUCCCCUCCUACUUUUUGCCCCCCGCUUCCCUCCUUCUCCUCCGCCCCCCGCCCGGCGGCCUCUCCCCCUGGAAAUGAAAUCGACCCUCACCGGGAUCCACGCGUCAGCCGCUGCCACCUCAUUGGUCCCCAAAUCAGUCCAGCGGGGUCCGGCCUGAACCGGGACGAGGGACUCGGGGAGGGGAAACGGAAGGUGGGCACAGUACUGGGACACUGCUGUGCCUGCGAAGCCUUUGGCAGAGGAUGUGGCGCUGGCACGGAGUCCUCGCCCCCACUCCUCCUUCCCGCCCCGGAGGCUCGUCCCCUCCAGGACUUCGCCAGGGAGAGGAGGACAAGGGGGCUUGGCCCGGAACGUGCUUUGCUCAAGCGUCCAAGCAAGCAAGAGUGGCGCCACGAUCCUGAGAAACUCAGCACUUAAUCUGGGUUAAUGGCACUGGGGAUGUGUAGCAUGUGUGAGCCUGUCAGUGAAGAUACAUCAUCGAUAAUAUAUUUACUCCAUAGAAUAAUGGUAAUGUAUUAUAUAUUAAUGGCAUGUAAUACUGUAUUAUUACAUAUGUUCAUUAUAAUAUAGAUCCAGUAUGUAACAACCAGCAAGGAUCUGGUUGUUUAAAAACUGGGGUUCUCUGGGGGCACCUGGAUGGCUCAGUUCGGUUGAGCAUUAUAGGACUUCAGCUCAGGUCACGAUCUCGGGGUCUUUGAGUCCCAGCCCCACAUGGGGCUCUCUGCUGACAGCUCAGAGCCUGGAGUCUGCUUCAGAUUCUGUGUCUCCCUCUCUCUCUCUCUCUCCACCCGCCCCCCCCAGCCCCGCUCACGCUCUGACUCUCUCAUAAAUAAACAGUAAAAAAAAAGAAAAACUGGGGUUCUC